CCAUAAGGCGCCCUAGGGCCUACCGGGACUGGGGGCUGCCCGGGGCGGGGCGCGCUGUCCGGCCCGGGCCCACUGGCGGGGGGAGGGGUGACCCGGGGGUGGGGCCGUGGGCCAGGCCCCGUUAGCGGCGGGAAGGAAAGUUUCCAACUCAGCGGGAUGGAAGGGGCCCCGGGCCGUGAAGUUACCUGCGGGUCCCGGACGGGAAGAAGGCACCAGUGGAUCCUGAGCCCGGAGCCGCCUCAGCUGCUUUGUCUCUGCGCCGCGCCCGUCCCGACUGGAGAGGAGGAAAUGGGCUCUUCCGGGCACCUCCCCCUACGGCCUAGCCGGCUCUUCCGGGCACCUCCCCCUACAGCUCCGCCGGCUCUUCCCGGGGCCGCCCGCCCUGCGCAGAUGCCCAUGGCAGCCAUGCUGUGGGGCCAGGAAGCAUCACAGCGGAGGCACCUAUCCAUGCUCUGCAAGGAUGAAGGUAGGUUUCCCCUUAGAUCAUGGACCACCCCCCACCCCCCGGAUAUUAAUAAGUCCCUGGCCCUAGAAGAGAUAAUGCACUGGACAGAGUUUUCAGAUUUUCUCCCCUCUCAUGGGUUUAACCAAGAGAGGGGGGAGCAUUUAGUCCCAGGACAAAGAAAGGAGCAUAGGCCAUCAUUCCAGAGUCCUCAAUGAAAAUAAAUCCCAUGCACCAAGGAACCA
RNAcentral lists this long non-coding RNA (687 nucleotides) under Chrysemys picta bellii (western painted turtle). Its description in RNAcentral is "lncRNA (ENSCPBG00000000402.1)". Lineage: Eukaryota; Metazoa; Chordata; Testudines; Emydidae. The record is from RNAcentral.